This 6414-nucleotide long non-coding RNA is filed under the name Sus scrofa (pig). Its description in RNAcentral is "lncRNA (ENSSSCG00050070997.1)". The record is from RNAcentral. Lineage: Eukaryota; Metazoa; Chordata; Mammalia; Artiodactyla; Suidae.
GGUCCUACUAUAGCACAGGGAACUAUAUCCAGUCUAUUGGGAUAGAGUAUGAUGGAAAGCAAUAUAAGAAAAGGAAUGUAUAUAUAAGUAUGACUGGGUCACUUUGCUGUACAGCAGAAAUUGACACAGCAUUGUAAAUCAACUAUACUUUACUUAAAGAUAAAUUUUGGAGAUGGAGACAUAGGACUUCCUUAUGGAUUAGAAAUAAGAAAAUAAAGAGUCAAAAAUAAGUAUUUGAGCAACUAGAUGGAGGUCAUGGCCAUUUAAAAGAUACACAAGUUGGGAAGGAACAGAUACAUGGAUUAAAAGGCGAGUGAAUUAAAAAGCCAGUCUUUGAUGUACUAAGUUUACAGACAUAAUAGUAACACCCUCUCUUCCUGGCCUGGUCCCUGGAAGCUUGUAGAGUCCACUGUCUCUCUUAGCCGUGUUCCAGUGUCACCAUGUGAGGGUGCCUUGGAAUGAGUCUGUUUCGUCUAUUGUUCAGGGAGUUUAGUGGGUACUUUUGAUUGGUAACUACAUGUUCCUUGAAUCUAAAACAUGAUUUUUGAGUAAUUUCAUGGGUUUACUUCCUAAAUUUUCUUUUUUCUUUCUUUCUAUAAUCCCAUCUAUGUAGAUAUUGGAGUACCUGAGCUGGUUCUCUAAUUAAAAACAAACAAAACCCUCUUCUAUGUUCUCUCUCUCUUUGCUCUACUUUUUAGUUUCCCUAAACCUUAUUUUCUAGUCCUUUUGUGAGACUGAAAUUUCUGCUAAUCUUUUUACUAUGUUAGAACUCUCUUGGUUUUCAGAAACAAGACCUCUUUUUGCAUCCUAUAUAUUUUUUUUGUUUUUUAUUAGAGCGCAGGGGUCUAUCUGAAGCAGAUGGAGAAGCUUUCUAGGCUAGGGGUUGAAUUGGAGCUGCAGCUGCUGGCCUACGCCACAGCCACAGCAAUGCCAGAUCCUUAACCCAAUGAGAGAUGCCAGGGAUUGAACCCACACCCUCAUUGAUACUAGUUGGGUUCAUUACCACUGAGCCACAGUGGGAACUCCCUAUAUAUGUUUUAUUGAUGAAAAAUCUACUGGCAUUGCUCUGAAAGUUUGUGGGAAUAUUACUAUUAUUUUAUUUAAACAUCUCACUUCUUGGCUUUCUGACGUUUGCAUUUUGUAUUUAGGACUUGAUCUUUUCUAAAAGUGAUUUUCUAAGAUGUUUGUGAUCCUCCAUUUUUUUUUCUUUUUUAAGAGUGGGGCACUGGAAAUCUAGUGGAAUUGGGAGCAUGAAAUGAGUGCUUGUCAGCAGUAGAUGUCACUGCAGGUGGUGUGGAGGGAUCAUUCUCUUGGAGGCAGGGGUGUCCUAUACAUGACUGUAGCCUUUCCUCCUCCACUCAUCAGAUUCCCAGGUGGGAUUCUCCCACUGUCCUGCCUGAAGGGAUAAACCAGGAUGCCAAUUUCCUGAGAGCCAAGAAAGAGCCAAAGAUACUGGGCUUAACAUUCAGCAGUAACUCUUGACAAUCUAGAAGAGAAGAAACAUCCAGAAAGAAAGAGAAAAAUAACUUAGUGCCUCAUCAUUCAUAAACAGAGGCAGUUUGCCUGCAGUUCAAGGAGAGGGAAAGUUCACUCACUAAGCAAGAUAGAAGACAAAUGUGCAACUUUUGUGAUCUGUCCUCAUGGUUUAUUUCAAUGUAUCACUAAUACAUAGUUAAAAAUCUAAGUUUAACCAGCAUAAUAACUUGCUGUACUAAAAUUAUAUAAAAUUUAUCUCUGACCAUUCCCUCUUUACAUAUAAUUUUUCUUUAGUGUUUAUCACUUUUUGAAGUCCACAACUGAUAUUAUUUCAUCAGUGUUUAUAUUUUCACAUUUAUCAUCUUUGCUCCCUUUCUUAAAAAUUUCAGAGCUUCUAAGUCAUCUUUCAAUGUUUUACAGUCAUGAAAUAUAUUCUUUAGGUAUUUGCUAAGGUAUUGCUUGUGGCAAGCUCUCAGAAUUAUUUGUUGAAUGCAUUAGUUUUGGAUAAUUUUACUGUGUGCAUUUUUCUAGAUUGACGUUUAUUCUCUGGCUUCCAUUUUUGCCAUGAUGAAGCCUACUUUCAGUUGAAAUGUUCUUUUUUGCAGGAAAUCCAUCUCUUCUCUCUGACCGAUUUUUAAAUCCUCUUUGGUUUAAUGCUUUGAAGUUACACUACACUCUGCCUAGGCAUACCAUUUCUUGUGAUUUUCCUACCCUGAUGUACCUGGUUCUUAAUCCUUCUGUUUGCACUAUGGUAGUACUGCUUUUAACUGGGUGUGGUACAUAGGAACCUGCUGUUUAGGCUUCUAGAGGAUACACCUCUCAUGCUCUGCCAAAAUUGGAGGAGGGGAGGAGCACUUGCCUCAAUUUGUGGAGUAAGAAAUGGAAUUGGCUGAAUUUCUGGAAGAAACAGGCACUGGGACUUGCAUCUUGCCUGAGAAAGAGAAGGUGGUCCAGGUCUGAUAGAAGUCCCCCCUCGGACGUUCACGCAACGUUUAAAACAAAGUUUAUUUGUAAUAUUUUAUGUGCGUUACGCUGUAUGAUACUAACCAAAGACCUAGGACCCCACCCCUCAGCCUAAGACAGGGUACAAUGUCCACUGUGUCAAGAUUCCUAUAUGGCUCCCUUGGGGAAGGUCUCAAAGGACUGAAUCCUUGGGUCUAAAUGCAAAACCCAUGAUAGAUGUGGAGGCAUGGAGUCAUUUUUUUUUUAAAGAUGCUGCCCAAGAGGAUGGUCUGGCAAGACAAAGGAAGCCUGGCAUUAAGAGAACUCUGGGGUGUGUUUCUGGGAGUAAAGCAGCCAAAGGAGAAGCAGUCCUGUGACUGAAGAGGAGCUGUGAUGGAGGGGUCAGCUUGGAAGCCUGGAAAACUUCAGGAAGCAUCUGCCCCUCACCCUCCACUGUGUGUUUGUAAUUGCCUCUCCUCUUGGUUCUUGUAACUUGACUCAUACUUCCAAAAAUAUUUAAAAUAUUUUAGUGUGGCUUUAAGAGAAAACAAAAUGAAAUAUCUACAUACACAAAGGUUCCUAAUUUUUUUUAAGUAUUGAAAUUGUAUUUCAUGCAGUGUUUAAAGCAAUGGUUAUUUAUAAUAGUUUAUGUGUGUUAAUGGUGUAUAAUUCUAACCAGACGCCUGUGACCCCACCCCUCAGCCUAAGACGGAAAAAUGUCCAUUGUGUCAAGAUGCCUGUAUGGCUUCCUUGGCAUCCCCUUCCCACUGUCUUCAGCAAAUCUUCCUCCUAAAUCUGGAUUUUCUUAUUCUCUUUUAUUUAAUUUCCUACCUUUGAGAAAUUAAUAUAUUAAGAUUUAUCUUUCUCUCUGUGGGUGAUUACAAUGUUUCAAAUCCUUUGAGGUCAAAAUCUGCUGACUCUCAUUCAUCGUUUAUUUCUUGUUUCGUUUUGUAUUUUAAUGAGCACAUUUUGGGUUGAACUUGAAUAUGGAAUACCACAGGCCCUAAGUUAGGGAGGUUUUUGGUUCAUAUUGUACUUGUAUUGGCUUCUGCUGGACCCCAGGAGGUGCUGCCAAGAAGGGACUCUUUCAUUUUCUUGGCUUGAGCUUUCUCUUAUCCAUUCUGACUCCAGACCCAGAGAGCAGGCUGAGUUAACAUUCUCAAAAGAUACUGGAUAUGGAGAUGUUUACAGCCUGGAUUCCUGGAAGGUCCCCUUUGCUGGUAGGCAGACACUUCCAGCAUGUAGUCCCCAUUUGAGGUUCCUGGCUUAAUGUGGGGAUCCAGGCUCAGCUCCAGGAAUUUACACAGGUCUAGGGUUUCCCAUUCCUCUUUGUCAGCACUGGCCUUGAGGGCAGCCCUGGCUCCUACGUUAGCUCCAGGCUCUGAUUUUAGCUCACUGUUGCUGUUGAUGCCUUUAUUUUCUUGACUACUUAGCAAUUAAUUACAAAAUAAGUUGGCUAUAAUGUAUCCAGGUCUUGUUAAAGAAUCCAGUGCACCAUAUUGCUUGAAGCAAAAUCUAUACUUGAAGUUUUAUUUCCAUUGUGAUAUAAGAUCUGCUAGGAAAGAAAUUUGCCUUUCUAUGUUCCUCAAUUACAUUUUGUAAGCUGCCGGUGUUACUGCUGCUAUUUCUCCUGUUUGGCUUUUGGUUUUUAUUAUUUAUUUCUAAUUUUAUUUUGGAGAUUAGAAAAUAAAGUCAGUAUUUUCCUGCUUUAUAGCUUUUUUGUUUUCCUUUAUUUUUUAAGGUUUAUGGAAGUUCCCAGGCUAGGGGUCAAAUCGGAGCUGCAGUUGCUGGUUUACGCCACAGCAGCACCUAAUCCUAGCCACAUCUGCAAGCUAUGCCACAGCUUGCAGCAAUGCUGGAUCCUUAACCCACUGAGUGAGGCCAAGGAUUGAACCUGCAUCCUCACAGAUGCUAUGUCAGGGUCUUAACCCACUGAACCACAACAGGAACUCCUCUAUAGAUUUUUUCAAAAAUCUUUUUCUUUCUUUCUUUUUCUUUUUUCUUUUUUUUUGGUCUUUUGUCUUUUUAGGGCUGCACCCGCAGCAUAUAGAGGUCCCCAGGCUAGGGGUCUAGUCAGAGCUAUAGCUGCUGGCCUACGCCAGAGCCACAGCAAUGCCAGAUCGGAGCUGCAUCUGUGACCUACACCACAGCUCAUGGCAAUGCUGAAUCCUUAACAUACUGAUCAAGGCCAGGGAUUGAACCUGAAACCUCAUGGUUCCUAGUCAGAUUCGUUUCUGCUGGGCCAUGACAGGAAGUCCGUUAAAUGUUUUUCUUUUGUGCCGUAUUUGGUAGUGGUUUUUUUUUGUUUGUUUGUUUGUUUACUGUUAUAUUGGUGCUUUAGAAGUAUAUUUCAUCUUAUUUACUAUAUUGUUAAGGUCCCCUUAUUAAUAAUUCAUUUCUACUCAGUUGAAAUGUCAAGUUUUAUAGGAUUAAUAAUUUCUCACUGCUAUGUGUAAAUUUCUCCUUCAGUGUGUUCAGAUGUGCCAGUACUAUACCUUUCAGGGCUGCAAAACUGACAGCAACUUACCUUUUAGUAGAUUGUAAUCUUUAUCAUGACCACUUUAAUGUCAAAACUUUUUUAUAUUUUGAUUUUUUAUUUUCUUUUUUCAUUUUAUUUCAGACCUAACUUUAUUUUCCUUUUAUGUUCCUUUUUAUUUCAGACUUAACACACAGACUUGGUACAUUUUAUUUAAAUGUUACAGUUUAUAGUUGUCACUGUGUCUCCAUCAUGUAUGUUUCUAUCAUCAAGCAUUAUAUCAUUCAGUUUUACAAAUUUUGAAACUGUAUGGCAAUGGAAUGAUAUUCAUUCACUUAGUGUAAAUUAAUUGAGCACCUGUCCUAUGCCAGGCACUCAAGAGCUUGUAUGCACAAAUGGACAAUGGCCUGACCAUAUAUAAAAGCAGAACUCUGACCUGCCAUCUGCAAAAAUCUGCCCAGGAAAUCAGUCCCUUGUCUUCAUUAACCAGCCAGGAAACCAGACUGUAUGAGUCAGACCUAAGGAGGUCAUACUGCCGUCUUGAGGAAGCCAAACAAAAACUUCUAUAGCAAUUGGUCCCAAAUGCCCAGGACUUGAUUAACAACUGAAUAUUUCCCUAGUAUGUGUCCCCUCUUCUGACUUAAGAUCAGCAGAGAAAACAAUACAUGAGUUUCUAAGCAAUCACAUAGAUGCCUGCUUCUAGUUAGUCUGCAGGUAGCUUUCCCAGGCUAACAACUCCAAUCAGGGCACAUCUGAAGUCUUCCCUUUUUUCCUCAAUAAAGCUUCCCUACUCCUCUGCCAGCCUUUAAAUCUUGACUAAAACACAGUGAUGGUGGUUAAGAUACUUGCUCUAGUAGCUCAUAAUUAAGUAGCCCUUGCUUAUUCUCAUUUGGUUGGUCUUUCUUUCCAUAUCCUGCUGUAUCAUGUGUGCCAAAUCAAAGAAAGAUCGAAGAUAAACAAAAAAUGCUGCCUUUAUGGAACUUACAUUCUAAUGGGGCAGUGAUGGGAGGAGACAGAGGGAAAAAUAUGCUAAGUUCUGUAGAAUAUGUGAAGGUUAUAAUUGCUAUAAAAAUUAGCAAGGAAAGGGACAUGAAAGGGCUGGGGUAGGAGUCUGUGAUUUUCCAUGGGAUUAUCAGUGACAUUCCAUUUCCAAGGUGACAUUUGAGCAAAGGUUGGAAGAAACUGAGGGAGUGAAUCAUACAGAAAUAAUGCAGGAGUAGAAAUCCUUCCAGGUAGUAGGAACCUCAAGGCAAAUUCUCUAAUACAGGAAUGUGCUUGGCACUUUCCAGAAAAAGCUGGAACUUAGGGCUAGAGGAAAGGGACUAAGGAGAAGAGGAGAUACGGUCUGAAUCCUCAGGGGACAGAUCAUGGGAAGUUUUGUGAGCUGUUGGAAGGACUAUGGUGUUGUCACCGCUGUGUCUUGGGUCACUGCUAUGGCUCGGGUUUGAUCCCUGACCCUUGAACUUCUGCAUGCUGCAAGCAUGGCCAAAAAGAAAACAAGAGGAAAAGAAAAAAAAAAA